CUGUAGCCUGAUAUUGAAAUUCGGCACAGCUUGUACAGGAUAGGUAGGAGCCUUUGAAACGUGAGCGCUAGCUUACGUGGAGGCGCUGGUGGGAUACUACCCUAGCUGUGUUGGCUUUCUAACCCGCACCACUUAUCGUGGUGGGAGACAGUGUCAGGCGGGCAGUUUGACUGGGGCGGUCGCCUCCUAAAAGGUAACGGAGGCGCUCAAAGGUUCCCUCAGAAUGGUUGGAAAUCAUUCAUAGAGUGUAAAGGCAUAAGGGAGCUUGACUGCGAGACCUACAAGUCGAGCAGGGUCGAAAGACGGACUUAGUGAUCCGGUGGUUCCGCAUGGAAGGGCCAUCGCU
RNAcentral lists this ribosomal RNA (346 nucleotides) under Staphylococcus aureus. RNAcentral describes it as "partial 23S ribosomal RNA". It matches the Rfam family "Bacterial large subunit ribosomal RNA", at positions 2104 to 2449 of the family's 2925-position model. The record is from RNAcentral. Lineage: Bacteria; Bacillati; Bacillota; Bacilli; Caryophanales; Staphylococcaceae.